UGAAGGUUUAAACGUGUUUUCUUUUGAAUUGCGGUAGGUUGUUGUAGCGGCUAACGUUACUUUGCCACUUUGUGAGGUAUUUGGGUAUCUAACGUUACUUUUUUGGUGAUAAUGGUUGUAUAUUUAUUCGUCCGCGUUCUGUAUAAUGUGUGUUUUUGUGUCAGGUAAGCUUCCGAUAUUAUAAUACUAUAUGAAUGACUAAUAACGAAGGAGCUUAGCUAUCGCCUGCUAGCUUCCUCAUGCAAUAAAUGCAUGUUUCAAGCAAUGGUCGCUGUCUACGUCCUGGGAUGGUCCUGUCUAAUUCCAGACUAUUCAAGUAAUUCCUGUCCUAUUAUGCUACUUGCCAGUUGCAAAGUUGUUCUAGCUUACCAGGUCCGCGUUUAAUCAAUAGAACCACAUGGCUUAUAUUACCAUGUGCAUUAUAACAUGUAUUUUCUGUAUCUCUAAAGUGCACCGGGAAGUGCUCGGUUUCACCAACCACGUCACCAGCAGCGGUUACGUCGAAUACUGAACGUUAAUGGUAUAUACUGGUAUUCAUACUAGUUAUGUGAAGCUAAAUGGUGCACUUGUGCUGUACAUUGGUGUCAAGGCAGUGCUUACAAACGACACAUUCGUGUUGCCCUUCGAGGGGCUCUGCAAACAGUACUGUAGCGGUGCCGCAGUCAUGAAGCCGACCUUAGCAAGAUGCCCUUGGUCUUACGUAACUCAACUAGAUGUGUUGCGUCAAUCCUCGCGAGCUUUAAACAUAAAUAGAUAUAUUGAAAUGUGUAUUAAAUUAUCUCCUAAAAUUAUGUUGUCGGAAAUCGAGGUCUUUAUCUGUUAUUAUUAUGGUCGCUGUGAAUCACUAGCUACAUUUUUUAUUAACUUAUAAACAAUUUGAAACUAUUUUUCAAACAGGCACCUGAGGCUGUGUGACAUAUUUGAAUGACUUUGUUAACAAAUAAUGAAUGCACGUUGACUAGUUUCCUUUCUAUUUCUAAAGCCUGGCCUAGACUUAUUGAAUGUAAAUGUACAGCCAGAAUCUUGAACAACUCUUCACCAUUUUAAGUUCAGCCUCAGUCCGUUUCCUGUGCUUUCGAAAGAGAAAGUUCAGGCAGUGCAGGACGUCUCCAUUAGCAAUGUUUUUUUUUUUGUUACUAGGUGCUAGCCCCUAUUGUUGUUAUGGAGCCUUGGGGGUAAGGAUAGGGGUGUUUUUGGCUAAAUCUCUGGCACAUAAACCUGAAUCAGGUUUCUCUAAUUGAUUGUAUGUUUGCUUUAUUCAGAUACAGGACACUGCAAUACCGUAGUCUGAACUUUUAAGCAUGUUGUUGACAAUGUUUCAGAGUGGUCUAAGGUUUGAGGUAUUAAUCUCAACUUCAAGGGAUGGUGCUUGAGCUAAUUCAGUAUGUCAUUGUUGUCCUGGUGUAAUCUUCCAUGACCAAUGAACAAACACCCAGUCAUGUUUUGUCAUUGU
Long non-coding RNA from Gadus macrocephalus (Pacific cod), 1453 nucleotides. RefSeq lists it as uncharacterized. NCBI's taxonomy places the organism in Eukaryota, Metazoa, Chordata, Actinopteri, Gadiformes, Gadidae. The record is from RefSeq and is a predicted model, not a curated record. The transcript has 2 exons.